AAAGAAAAAUUUUAUGAUUUAGGGAAUUUAUUAUAAAAUUUAUUUUACAUAUAAAUUUUAGUGUUAAAUUUUGUUUAUUUUAAUAAUAAAUUAAAUUUAUUUUAUAGUAAUUAAUAUUAAAAAUUUAGGAAAUUAAGAUUUAGUAAUAUAUUAUGAAGUUUAAUUAAUAACAAAUUUUGUGCCAGCAGUUGCGGUUAUACAAAAGUUAAUAAUAAAUUUUAUUAGUCAUUAAUAAAUAAGUUAUAUAUAUAUAUAUAGAUUAUAGGAAAAUUUUAAAUUAUUAGGUGAAAUUUUAAUUUAAUUAAAAUUAUAAUAAAUUUAUGAUUUAGUAAAUUUUUUAAAAAACUAGGAUUAGAUACCCUAUUAUUAAAAUUUAAAUUAAUUAUACUAAAGUAGUAGAUAGGUUUAUUGAAAUUUAAAUGAUUUGGCGGUAUUUUAGUUCAUUUAGAGGAACCUGUUUAGUGAUUGAUAGUCCACGAGUAAAUUUACUUAAUUUUUGAUUUUGUAUAUCGUUGUUAAAAAAAUAUUUAUUAAUAAUAAAUAAUAUUUUAAAAUUUGAAUUAUAUAAAAUUAAAUCAAAUCAAGAUGCAGAUAAUAAUUAAGUUUUUAAUGGGUUACAAUAAAUUUAAUUUAAAUGAAUUUUUAAUUUUAAUUAUUACAAGGAAAGUGGAUUUAAAUGUAAUUUUAUUUAAAUAAGUAAAAUGAUUAAAAUUUAAAAUAUGUACAUAUUGCCCGUCGCUUUCAUAUAUUUUAAAAUGAGAUAAGUCGUAACAAAGUAGAGGUACUGGAAAGUGUUUCUAGAAAGA
RNAcentral lists this non-coding RNA (806 nucleotides) under Ochrogaster lunifer (bag-shelter moth). Lineage: Eukaryota; Metazoa; Arthropoda; Insecta; Lepidoptera; Notodontidae. The record is from RNAcentral.